Molecule: long non-coding RNA, 329 nt
Organism: Brachypodium distachyon (stiff brome)
Lineage: Eukaryota; Viridiplantae; Streptophyta; Magnoliopsida; Poales; Poaceae
Exons: 3
Source: RefSeq, a predicted model, not a curated record
CAUGAAGCAAGGAAUUGAGGAGCUUGAAGCAACAAUAAAUUCCAACUUCUACUACAGCGACGACUUUCACAGUGAGGACCUGGAGGAAAAUUAGGAUAGUGAAGCAUUAAAGCAGCAAGACAAAAGCUAAGAAGAGAAGAAGUCGAGCUAGCGGCUGGGAAAUGGAGAAGGGUACAAUACCUUGCACGUCUCUGCUGACGGUUGUGGCUGAUCUAUGUAGUUUAUUUGUCAUUAUGGGUGAACUGAUGAUACCCGAAACUACCCUAUGCUACUUCCUGUUGCUAUUUUAGACCGGUGAUACUGGUGUAUAUGUAUGAGUGAUGGUUGUC